ACCGUCUGUCUGAGAGGCACAUAUACACACAACUACACACAUGCACACACAACACACACAUAUAUACACAACUACACACGUACACACAACUACACACGCACACACACAGCACACACACCUACACACACUACACACAUGCACACACAACUACACACAUGUACACAACACACACUACACACGUACACACAACACAGAUACACACUACACACGUACACACAACACACAACUACACACAUGUACACACUACACACACACACACAACUACACACAUGUACACACAACACACAACUACACGCGCACUCACACAUACACACAACUACACACAUACAGCACACACGUACAUACAACUACACACACGCACACACAACACACAAGUACACACAUGAACACAACACACUACACACAUGUACACACUACAUAUGCAUACAACACACACAACUACACAGAUGUACACACUACACAGAUGUACACACAACACACAUACACAACUACACACAUGUACACACAACACACAUAACUACACACGUACACACAACACACAUAUGCAUACAACUACACACAUAUACACACAACACACAUGCACACACAACUACACACAUGUACACACAACACAACUACACACGUGUACACACAACACACAUACACACAACUACAUACAUGCACACAAAACAAAUAUUCAACACAAUGCAUGCAUGCAGCACAG
Molecule: long non-coding RNA, 703 nt
Filed under: Homo sapiens (human)
Lineage: Eukaryota; Metazoa; Chordata; Mammalia; Primates; Hominidae
Description: non-protein coding lnc-THAP3-4:1
Source: RNAcentral